UGCGUAGGCGGCUUCUUAAGUCUGGUGUGAAAUCUCCCGGCUCAACUGGGAGGGUGCGCCGGUUACUGAGGGGCUAGAGUGUGGGAGAGGAAAGUGGAAUUCCUGGUGUAGCGGUGAAAUGCGUAGAUAUCAGGAGGAACACCGGUGGUGUAAACGGCUUUCUGGACCAUAACUGACGCUGAGGCACGAAAGCGUGGGUAGCAAACA
Molecule: ribosomal RNA, 207 nt
Filed under: uncultured bacterium
Lineage: Bacteria
Description: partial 16S ribosomal RNA
Rfam family: Bacterial small subunit ribosomal RNA
Source: RNAcentral